AGAGUUUGAUCCUGGCUCAGGAUGAACGCUAGCUACAGGCUUAACACAUGCAAGUCGAGGGGCAGCAUUUUAGUUUGCUUGCAAACUGAAGAUGGCGACCGGCGCACGGGUGAGUAACACGUAUCCAACCUGCCGAUAACUCGGGGAUAGCCUUUCGAAAGAAAGAUUAAUAUCCGAUAGUAUAUUAAAACCGCAUGGUUUUACUAUUAAAGAAUUUCGGUUAUCGAUGGGGAUGCGUUCCAUUAGUUUGUUGGCGGGGUAACGGCCCACCAAGACUACGAUGGAUAGGGGUUCUGAGAGGAAGGUCCCCCACAUUGGAACUGAGACACGGUCCAAACUCCUACGGGAGGCAGCAGUGAGGAAUAUUGGUCAAUGGACGAGAGUCUGAACCAGCCAAGUAGCGUGAAGGAUGACUGCCCUAUGGGUUGUAAACUUCUUUUAUAUGGGAAUAAAGUUUUCCACGUGUGGAAUUUUGUAUGUACCAUAUGAAUAAGGAUCGGCUAACUCCGUGCCAGCAGCCGCGGUAAUACGGAGGAUCCGAGCGUUAUCCGGAUUUAUUGGGUUUAAAGGGAGCGUAGGUGGAUUGUUAAGUCAGUUGUGAAAGUUUGCGGCUCAACCGUAAAAUUGCAGUUGAAACUGGCAGUCUUGAGUACAGUAGAGGUGGGCGGAAUUCGUGGUGUAGCGGUGAAAUGCUUAGAUAUCACGAAGAACUCCGAUUGCGAAGGCAGCUCACUAGACUGCAACUGACACUGAUGCUCGAAAGUGUGGGUAUCAAACAGGAUUAGAUACCCUGGUAGUCCACACAGUAAACGAUGAAUACUCGCUGUUUGCGAUAUACAGUAAGCGGCCAAGCGAAAGCAUUAAGUAUUCCACCUGGGGAGUACGCCGGCAACGGUGAAACUCAAAGGAAUUGACGGGGGCCCGCACAAGCGGAGGAACAUGUGGUUUAAUUCGAUGAUACGCGAGGAACCUUACCCGGGCUUAAAUUGCAUUUGAAUAAUCUGGAAACAGGUUAGCCGCAAGGCAAAUGUGAAGGUGCUGCAUGGUUGUCGUCAGCUCGUGCCGUGAGGUGUCGGCUUAAGUGCCAUAACGAGCGCAACCCUUAUCUUUAGUUACUAACAGGUCAUGCUGAGGACUCUAGAGAGACUGCCGUCGUAAGAUGUGAGGAAGGUGGGGAUGACGUCAAAUCAGCACGGCCCUUACGUCCGGGGCUACACACGUGUUACAAUGGGGGGUACAGAAGGCAGCUACCUGGCGACAGGAUGCUAAUCCCAAAAACCUCUCUCAGUUCGGAUCGAAGUCUGCAACCCGACUUCGUGAAGCUGGAUUCGCUAGUAAUCGCGCAUCAGCCAUGGCGCGGUGAAUACGUUCCCGGGCCUUGUACACACCGCCCGUCAAGCCAUGAAAGCCGGGGGUACCUGAAGUACGUAACCGCAAGGAGCGUCCUAGGGUAAAACUGGUAAUUGGGGCUAAGUCGUAACAAGGUAGCCG
Molecule: ribosomal RNA, 1491 nt
Filed under: uncultured bacterium
Lineage: Bacteria
Description: 16S ribosomal RNA
Rfam family: Bacterial small subunit ribosomal RNA
Source: RNAcentral